This 274-nucleotide ribosomal RNA is filed under the name uncultured bacterium. RNAcentral's name for it is "partial 16S ribosomal RNA". It matches the Rfam family "Bacterial small subunit ribosomal RNA", at positions 523 to 796 of the family's 1533-position model. The record is from RNAcentral.
AUACGGAGGGUGCAAGCGUUAUCCGGAAUCAUUGGGUUUAAAGGGUCCGUAGGCGGACUAAUAAGUCAGGGGUGAAAUCCCACAGCUUAACUGUGGAACUGCCUUUGAUACUGUUAGUCUUGAGUUAUAUGGAAGUAGAUAGAAUGUGUAGUGUAGCGGUGAAAUGCUUAGAGAUUACACAGAAUACCGAUUGCGAAGGCAGUCUACUACAUAUAUACUGACGCUAAUGGACGAAAGCGUGGGGAGCGAACAGAAUUAGAAACCCCAGUAGUCC